Molecule: ribosomal RNA, 973 nt
Filed under: uncultured Arthrobacter sp.
Lineage: Bacteria; Bacillati; Actinomycetota; Actinomycetes; Micrococcales; Micrococcaceae
Description: bacterial SSU rRNA
Rfam family: Bacterial small subunit ribosomal RNA
Source: RNAcentral
AUGACGGCCUUCGGGUUGUAAACCUCUUUCAGCAGGGAAGAAGCCACAAGUGACGGUACCUGCAGAAGAAGCGCGGGCUAACUACGUGCCAGCAGCCGCGGUAAUACGUAGGGCGCAAGCGUUGUCCGGAAUUAUUGGGCGUAAAGAGCUCGUAGGCGGUUUGUCGCGUCUGCUGUGAAAGCCCGGGGCUUAACCCCGGGUGUGCAGUGGGUACGGGCAGACUAGAGUGCAGUAGGGGAGACUGGAAUUCCUGGUGUAGCGGUGGAAUGCGCAGAUAUCAGGAGGAACACCGAUGGCGAAGGCAGGUCUCUGGGCUGUUACUGACGCUGAGGAGCGAAAGCAUGGGGAGCGAACAGGAUUAGAUACCCUGGUAGUCCAUGCCGUAAACGUUGGGCACUAGGUGUGGGGGACAUUCCACGUUUUCCGCGCCGUAGCUAACGCAUUAAGUGCCCCGCCUGGGGAGUACGGCCGCAAGGCUAAAACUCAAAGGAAUUGACGGGGGCCCGCACAAGCGGCGGAGCAUGCGGAUUAAUUCGAUGCUUCGCGAAGAACCCUUACCAAGGCUUGACAUGGACCGGAAACACCUGGAAACAGGUGCCCCGCUUGCGGCCGGUUCACAGGUGGUGCAUGGUUGUCGUCAGCUCGUGUCGUGAGAUGUUGGGUUAAGUCCCGCAACGAGCGCAACCCUCGUUCCAUGUUGCCAGCGCGUAAUGGCGGGGACUCAUGGGAGACUGCCGGGGUCAACUCGGAGGAAGGUGGGGACGACGUCAAAUCAUCAUGCCCCUUAUGUCUUGGGCUUCACGCAUGCUACAAUGGCCGGUACAAAGGGUUGCGAUACUGUGAGGUGAAGCUAAUCCCAAAAAGCCGGUCUCCUUUGAGGAAGAGGUCUGCAACUCGACCCCAUGAAGUCGGAGUCGCUAGUAAUCGCAGAUCAGCAACGCUGCGGGAAAUUCCCCGGGCCUUGUACACCCGC